Non-coding RNA from Arvicanthis niloticus (Nile rat), 399 nucleotides. NCBI's taxonomy places the organism in Eukaryota, Metazoa, Chordata, Mammalia, Rodentia, Muridae. The record is from the annotation of a RefSeq genome assembly.
AUGUCCAUGCUGUCCCUAGCUCAUUUCCUCAGCCUUCUUCUCAUUUGUAUCUCUGAUUCUAGGGCAGAAACAACUGUGACCCAGUCUCUAGCAUCCCUGUCCAUAGCUGCAGGAGAAAAAGUCACUAUCAGUUGUAUAACCAAGACAGAUAUUGAUGAUGAUCUGAACUGGUACCAGCAAGAGCCAGGGGAAGCUCCUAAGCUCCUUAUUUCAGAAGGUAAUACUCUUUGUCUUGGAGUCCCUUCCCAGUUCUCCAGCAGUGACUAUGGUACAUAUUUUGUUUUUAAAAUUGAUAACAUGCUCUCAGAACAUACUUCAACUUACUUCUGUCAGCAAAGUUAUUACAGUCUUCUCACAGUGCUUAUUGCUCUUACAGAAACCUGCAGAUGCUAUUGGUGA